UUUCAUUUGAGUACAAUUACAAUCCCUCUAGUAGUUACUUUCCCUUUUCAAAAGAAACUAUAUAUUAGCACUAGAUUAUGAUUUUAGGUUGUAUAUGCACAUUAACAUUAAUGAAUAUGUUUGAUUGCUAGAUAAAAAGGACUCAAGUACUAUUGGGUGAGUAUGUGAAUAACCUAAGAUUUGUUAUUGUGCCUAUGCAGAUAACUUUCCCUUUCUCUUGUGAGACCCUGCUACUUCCCUUAUCAAUGCAUUUUGUGUAUAGUUUCAGUGUUGGCAAUUCAUUUAUCAACCUACCAUGAUGAAUUUCUAAUUUUUAUUAUAUUCCUCAAAGCAAAACUCGCACGCUCACUGGAUAAUUCCUUUUAUAUAUGUAGAAUGUACAAGCAUAUUUGUUUUGUGCUUAAUUCUAUGUGCAUUUGCAGGUUUUUCACCCUUUUUCCAUACAGGAAA
Molecule: unclassified non-coding RNA, 450 nt
Filed under: Hevea brasiliensis (rubber tree)
Lineage: Eukaryota; Viridiplantae; Streptophyta; Magnoliopsida; Malpighiales; Euphorbiaceae
Source: RNAcentral